CCGGGCAUCGGCGCGCGCGGCCCGCGGCGGCCCGGGCGCGUCCAGCCGGGAGGAACGGCCAGGAGACCCGACUCGUGCUCUCGUCCGCCCGACCCUGCACGUGUCCGUCUGUCUCGUGCGCUGUCCGUCCACCUCGUCCACGGGUCCAAGGACCGCUGAGAUUGGAGUUGGCCUAAAGGUAAAAACUGUGUGAGUUCUGGGACGCGGAAGAGAAGCAGCGGUCAUUAUACUCUGAAGGUUAUCGUCAGACCCAGGGGUGCUGCUGGGUGCCAGUUUGUUCUUGCUCUUCCCUCCUUCCUGAUGCUGGCCUUGCCCAUCAAAAGUGACCUCAGGCCUCCACCGGACGCUUGGCUGACAACUCAGAGAGGUGGCAGCUAUGAAGGGCCAGCAACCUUCCAUAGCCUUCGUGGUCUCAUCCCAAGAGCAGGACGUACUGGCUCCCUGCAAGUUCUGACACGUUCGUGACUUUUUUUCUGCUCCUUCAACUACAUUCUUUGGAUCUUUAUCUUCCCAGCUCUUCCCACAAUCGUCACAGACCAGUGCAGUGCUGACACUUCGUUAUCCCAGAGCAUAUUGUCCUGCCUGGACCCUCUGGAUGUGAGGACCCCUUCAUGGAAUUACCAUCGUAUGUCCAAUGGU
This is a long non-coding RNA of Balaenoptera acutorostrata (minke whale), 639 nucleotides long. RefSeq lists it as uncharacterized. The record is from RefSeq and is a predicted model, not a curated record. Lineage: Eukaryota; Metazoa; Chordata; Mammalia; Artiodactyla; Balaenopteridae. The transcript is spliced from 3 exons.